Molecule: ribosomal RNA, 157 nt
Filed under: uncultured bacterium
Lineage: Bacteria
Description: partial 16S ribosomal RNA
Rfam family: Bacterial small subunit ribosomal RNA
Source: RNAcentral
UGGGGAAAUUUGGACAAUGGGCGAAAGCCUGAUCCAGCCAUUCCGCGUGAGUGAAGAAGGCCUUAGGGUUGUAAAGCUCUUUCGCAAGGGAAGAAAACUUAUCCUCUAACAUAGGGUGAGGCUGACGGUACCUUGACAAGAAGCACCGGCUAACUAC